This 71-nucleotide transfer RNA is filed under the name Pseudomuriella schumacherensis. RNAcentral's name for it is "tRNA-Gly". It matches the Rfam family "tRNA". Rfam says of the family: Transfer RNA (tRNA) molecules are approximately 80 nucleotides in length. Their secondary structure includes four short double-helical elements and three loops (D, anti-codon, and T loops). The record is from RNAcentral. Lineage: Eukaryota; Viridiplantae; Chlorophyta; Chlorophyceae; Sphaeropleales; Pseudomuriellaceae.
GCGAGUGUAGUUCAAUGGUAGAAUAUUGCCUUGCCAAGGCAAAGGUUGUGGGUUCAAGUCCCAUUACUCGC